Molecule: microRNA precursor, 61 nt
Filed under: Tupaia belangeri (northern tree shrew)
Lineage: Eukaryota; Metazoa; Chordata; Mammalia; Scandentia; Tupaiidae
Description: miRNA (ENSTBEG00000019869.1)
Source: RNAcentral
GGACGCGCGCGCGCGCGUGUGUGUGUGUGUGUGUGUGUGUGUGUGUGUGUGCUCAAGAUCC